This 349-nucleotide transfer-messenger RNA is filed under the name Clostridia. Its description in RNAcentral is "UMGS1994 sp900553945 Standard tmRNA". It matches the Rfam family "transfer-messenger RNA". From Rfam's summary of the family: Bacterial tmRNA, also known as 10Sa RNA or SsrA, is named for its dual tRNA and mRNA-like properties. Its role is to liberate the mRNA from a stalled ribosome. Lineage: Bacteria; Bacillati; Bacillota. RNAcentral also lists the same sequence under 1 other name. The record is from RNAcentral.
GGGGAUGUAAAGGUUUCGACAGCUUUUUUGAAGUAUAGAUAGCGAGUGGUGGACGUACCUGGCCACCUAAAAAGGUACAAAUUAAAAAUAAACGCUGAUAAUAACGAAUUAGCAUUUGCUGCCUAAUUGCAGCAACGUCUUACUUUAGCAACCUACGGCUUUAGAUAAGGCGCCGAUUAGUAGGAAACGAAUUUAUUAUUUCUUCGGUAAUAAAGGGAUUUUAGAAGAUAUGUUCUAAACAAGUUUGUUUGUUAACUUUUUUAGAAUGAGAAAUAAUAACAAACUGCACUCGGAGAAGUUUAUAUGGAUGAAAUUCUGGACAGGAGUUCGACUCUCCUCAUCUCCACCA